This 208-nucleotide ribosomal RNA is filed under the name uncultured bacterium. RNAcentral's name for it is "partial 16S ribosomal RNA". It matches the Rfam family "Bacterial small subunit ribosomal RNA", at positions 568 to 774 of the family's 1533-position model. The record is from RNAcentral.
UGCGUAGGCGGGCCACCAAGUCUGCGGUGAAAUUCUCCCGCUUAACGGGAGUAGUGCCGCGGAUACUGGGGGCCUCGAGGGAGAUAGGGGCGUGCGGAACUCUGGGUGGAGCGGUGAAAUGCGUUGAUAUCCAGAGGAACUCCGGUGGCGAAGGCGGCACGCUGGAUCUUUUCUUGACGCUGAGGCACGAAAGCCAGGGGAGCGAACG